CAGGAAGCGGUUGAGGAAUGAAUUUUCCCUCUCGGAGCUAGUGCUGGCAUUACUGGGACUUGCGGCUGCCCCGCCAAGGGGCCGUCUGUCAUUUCAGAUCUGCCAGAGUCACCCCACAUGAAACGUGUUUGGAUAUUCUGAGUCCUGCUAUGCAGCAAGCACUAAGCUGAGCCCACGAGACAACGUUGAGGGACCUUGGUCCAAGGUGGGUGUCCAGCUGGGAGUGAACCACGCCAAUGCUACAGGAGGGAUGGACACCAAGGAAGAGAAAAAGAGGGUGGUGUGAAAGGGAAACCUAUUCGGUAGAAUCCAUACUUUGAAUUUCGAUCUCGUCUGGGUCUAGUGCUAUGCAGUCCAAUACUCUCUCAACGCUGAGCAGCUGCAGCUCCCAGGAAGCCAUGUGAUCACCAGGGUAGACAACCAAUACCCUACAGUGUUCUGUGUCGCCAGGUAAUUUUGCCAACUGGAGGCUAAGGUAAGUGUUCUGGGCACUUUUAAGGUAGGCA
This 506-nucleotide long non-coding RNA is filed under the name Homo sapiens (human). RNAcentral's name for it is "HSALNT0126151". The record is from RNAcentral. Lineage: Eukaryota; Metazoa; Chordata; Mammalia; Primates; Hominidae.